Molecule: long non-coding RNA, 879 nt
Filed under: Sorghum bicolor (sorghum)
Lineage: Eukaryota; Viridiplantae; Streptophyta; Magnoliopsida; Poales; Poaceae
Description: long non-coding RNA (SBIC_LNC001834)
Source: RNAcentral
GUGCAUUCUGUUAUCCCCCAAAUAAUUCUUUGGACCCUAACCAUGGUCAGGUUCUUAACCGGACUGAGUCUAGUCACUCUGCUACUACUCACCUGCACUCCCUCACCUCAACCGAACUCACAGAGAUUGGUCUGAAUGCCUAAUCUGGUAGGGUAUGGUGCCGGACUGGACUCACCUAGGGUCCAGACCCCAUAAGCCUUCAGAGUCCGAUUCAAGAAUCUUCUCCAAAUCAACUCCAAGUUCUUCACCAUGUGCAUGUGUGCCAACUCCAAGUAUCUCAACACAUGUGUACGUGAGUUAGCAACAUUUUCAAAGUAUUUUAAGGGUGUUAAGUUAGCACACUAGGUCCUAAUGCAUAUGCAUGAUCAACAACACCUAGUGGCACUUGAUAAUCAUUGUGACCAUGAUUUUCCCCUCUUCAUAGUACAACUAUCUAUGUUAAGUCCAAUCACACCCUCUAUGAUGUGUUUUGAUUAGUGAAACAAAAAUUUUAUUUAUACCUUUCUCUUAGUCUCCAUAGGUUUUUAUUUUUCUUUUUCUUUGUUUCUAAGUUGGAGCACUUGAUCUUCAAAUUUGUCCAUCUCCAUCACCAUGGACACCAUCAUCUAGCUCCAUCACUUAGGGUGUACCAACCUAUCUUACAUAACACUUAUGACAAAGGUUAGUACACUUAGAUUUUAUCAAUUAUCCAAAACCAAACUAGGGCUUUCAUAAGCCUUUUUUGUAUAACAAAAGGAUCCAAGGUGCGAGACAAAGGAGCCCUUGUUGUGUUGUCACACCCCGGGCAUGACUCUUUCCAAAGCAAGCAAGCGGAGUCUAGUUAAAGCAUGAAACAACCAACAACCCUGCUAAAGCUCACACUAUAGUGCUCAUCCUUAG